Molecule: long non-coding RNA, 839 nt
Organism: Vespula vulgaris
Lineage: Eukaryota; Metazoa; Arthropoda; Insecta; Hymenoptera; Vespidae
Exons: 3
Source: RefSeq, a predicted model, not a curated record
AGAUUUGGCUCGGUAGUGGGGGUUGAGCGCUCAGCAGUGGGCUACCCCUCUCGCGACACAGUAUCGUCGCGGUGUUCACCGUGGGCAGAGUAGUGGGGAGAGCUAACUGGCAAGGACGCGACGCUUCGGCCGACCGACCGACAUAUACUAUUAUACUACUCGUCGCAUCGACUUUCCAUGAGUGUUACAAAAGAUCAUUGAAAGAAGAAGAAAGAUGAAAGGCAAUAGAAGACUGCCAAAACACGAGAUGUGCCAAUCGACGCGUUCCUUCGUGGACUGCCAGCUCACCUUCCGCGCUACCGUUUUAAAUUAAGAUUAAGAAAAUGGAAAAAAUUGUUCGAUCUCGUCUUCCUAUUCUAUUAAUAACAAAAAAAAAAAAAAACCAGAUACGAAGAUCGUAACGAAGAAAAUUCAUCAAACAUUCUACCACUUUUUAACGAAACUAACAAGACAAAUCGCUUUCACCACUGAAUGAGAAAGAUCGUGUGAUCCUUUAUCCUAAUCUAGAUUAAAACUUAAUCUAAACCUAGACUUGUUCCAGAUACAACUGCCAAGGUUUGCGCAUGCUCUUCUAACGCGAUCUUAUAGCGUGUUAAUGAAAGUUGUCGAGCCGUAUAUGUAAUGAAACUUUUAACGUGAAACGAGUUUCUUUAUUUCUCUCUCUUCCUCUUGUCUAGUUAGCGGUAAAAUGGAAUGGGACAACACGAGAUGGAAAAUUGGAUCAAAUGCGACGAUAAUCUUGAUUGGAAUUUUUUAAUCAGACAAUUUAACUUCCUACAUAUGAACUGUAACACGAGUCCUAUAAAAGAAACUAAUAAAGAAGUAAUUCGUAUGAAUAA